Molecule: ribosomal RNA, 468 nt
Filed under: uncultured bacterium
Lineage: Bacteria
Description: partial 16S ribosomal RNA
Rfam family: Bacterial small subunit ribosomal RNA
Source: RNAcentral
GACGAACGCUGGCGGCGUACUUAACACAUGCAAGUCGAACGGAAAGGCCCUGCUUUUGUGGGGUGCUCGAGUGGCGAACGGGUGAGUAACACGUGAGUAACCUGCCCUUGACUUUGGGAUAACUUCAGGAAACUGGGGCUAAUACCGGAUAGGAGCUCCUGCUGCAUGGUGGGGGUUGGAAAGUUUCGGCGGUUGGGGAUGGACUCGCGGCUUAUCAGCUUGUUGGUGGGGUAGUGGCUUACCAAGGCUUUGACGGGUAGCCGGCCUGAGAGGGUGACCGGCCACAUUGGGACUGAGAUACGGCCCAGAAUCCUACGGGAGGCAGCAGUGGGGAAUAUUGCACAAUGGGCGGAAGCCUGAGGCAGCAACGCCGCGUGCGGAAUGACGGCCUUCGGGUUGUAAACCGCUUUCGCCUGUGACGAAGCGUGAGUGACGGUAAUGGGUAAAGAAGCACCGGCUAACUACGUG